RNAcentral lists this transfer RNA (73 nucleotides) under Cordylochernes scorpioides. Its description in RNAcentral is "tRNA-Val". Lineage: Eukaryota; Metazoa; Arthropoda; Arachnida; Pseudoscorpiones; Chernetidae. The record is from RNAcentral.
UGGUUCCGCCCGGGAUCGAACCGGGGACCUUUCGCGUGUAAAGCGAACGUGAUAACCACUACACCACGAAGCC